GAUGAACGCUGGCGGCGUGCCUAAUACAUGCAAGUCGAGCGAACAGACGAGGAGCUUGCUCCUCUGACGUUAGCGGCGGACGGGUGAGUAACACGUGGAUAACCUACCUAUAAGACUGGGAUAACUUCGGGAAACCGGAGCUAAUACCGGAUAAUAUAUUGAACCGCAUGGUUCAAUAGUGAAAGACGGUUUUGCUGUCACUUAUAGAUGGAUCCGCGCCGCAUUAGCUAGUUGGUAAGGUAACGGCUUACCAAGGCAACGAUGCGUAGCCGACCUGAGAGGGUGAUCGGCCACACUGGAACUGAGACACGGUCCAGACUCCUACGGGAGGCAGCAGUAGGGAAUCUUCCGCAUGGGCGAAAGCCUGACGGAGCAACGCCGCGUGAGUGAUGAAGGUCUUCGGAUCGUAAAACUCUGUUAUUAGGGAAGAACAAAUGUGUAAGUAACUAUGCACGUCUUGACGGUACCUAAUCAGAAAGCCACGGCUAACUACGUG
Molecule: ribosomal RNA, 496 nt
Filed under: uncultured bacterium
Lineage: Bacteria
Description: partial 16S ribosomal RNA
Rfam family: Bacterial small subunit ribosomal RNA
Source: RNAcentral